UCAGUAACAAGGAUUCAUCCUGUUGUGGUGCUGUAGGCUGACAGGAAAUCACUGUUACUGGGG
This 63-nucleotide microRNA precursor is filed under the name Monopterus albus (swamp eel). Its description in RNAcentral is "Mal-Mir-459_pre stem-loop". It matches the Rfam family "mir-459 microRNA precursor family", at positions 11 to 73 of the family's 81-position model. The record is from RNAcentral. Lineage: Eukaryota; Metazoa; Chordata; Actinopteri; Synbranchiformes; Synbranchidae.